AUUGAACGCUGGCGGCAUGCCUUACACAUGCAAGUCGAACGGUAACAGGUCUUCGGAUGCUGACGAGUGGCGAACGGGUGAGUAAUACAUCGGAACGUGCCUAGUAGUGGGGGAUAACUACUCGAAAGAGUGGCUAAUACCGCAUGAGAUCUACGGAUGAAAGCAGGGGAUCGCAAGACCUUGUGCUACUAGAGCGGCCGAUGGCAGAUUAGGUAGUUGGUGGGAUAAAAGCUUACCAAGCCGACGAUCUGUAGCUGGUCUGAGAGGACGAUCAGGCACACUGGGACUGAGACACGGCCGAGACACGUACGGGAGGCAGCAGUGGGGAAUUUUGGACAAUGGGCGAAAGCAUGAUCCAGCAAUGCAGAGUGCAGGAUGAAGGCCUUCGGGUUGUAAACUGCUUUUGUACGGAACGAAAAGCCCCGGGUUAAUACCCUGGGGUCAUGACGGUACCGUAAGAAUAAGCACCGGCUAACUACGUGCCAGCCGCCGCCGUAA
This 498-nucleotide ribosomal RNA is filed under the name uncultured bacterium. Its description in RNAcentral is "partial 16S ribosomal RNA". It matches the Rfam family "Bacterial small subunit ribosomal RNA", at positions 30 to 523 of the family's 1533-position model. The record is from RNAcentral.